GACGAACGCUGGCGGCGUGCUUAACACAUGCAAGUCGAACGGAAAGGCCCUGCUUUUGUGGGGUGCUCGAGUGGCGAACGGGUGAGUAACACGUGAGUAACCUGCCCUUGACUUUGGGAUAACUUCAGGAAACUGGGGCUAAUACCGGAUAGGAGCUCCUGCUGCAUGGUGGGGGUUGGAAAGUUUCGGCUGUUGGUGAUGGACUCGCGGGUUAUCAGCUUGUUUGUGGGGUAGUGGCUUACCAAGGCUUUGACGGGUAGCCGGCCUGUGAGGGUGACUGGGGAGAUUGGGACUGAGAUACGGCACAGAAUACUACGGGAGGCAGCAGGGGGAAAUAGUGCACAAUGGGCGGAAGCCUGAUGCAGAAACGCCGCGUGCGGGAUGACGGCCUUCGGGUUGUAAACCGAUUUCGCCUGUGACGAAGAGUGAGUGACGGUAAUGGGUAAAGAAGCACCGGCUAACUACGUG
Molecule: ribosomal RNA, 468 nt
Filed under: uncultured bacterium
Lineage: Bacteria
Description: partial 16S ribosomal RNA
Rfam family: Bacterial small subunit ribosomal RNA
Source: RNAcentral